Molecule: ribosomal RNA, 468 nt
Filed under: uncultured bacterium
Lineage: Bacteria
Description: partial 16S ribosomal RNA
Rfam family: Bacterial small subunit ribosomal RNA
Source: RNAcentral
GACGAACGCUGGCGGCGUGCUUAACACAUGCAAGUCGAACGGAAAGGCCCUGCUUUUGUUGGGUUCUCGAUUGGCGAACGCGUGAGUAACACGUGAGUAAACUGCCCUUGUCUUUGUGAUAACUUCAGGAAACUGGGGCUAAUACCGGAUAGGAGCUCCUGCUGCAUGUUGGGGGUUGGAAAGUUUCGGCGGUUGGGGAUAGACUCGCAGCUUAUCAGCUUGUUGGUGUGGUAGUGGCUUACCAAGGGUACGACGGGUAGCCGGCCUGAGAGGGUGAACGGCGUCAAUAGGACUAAGAGACGGAGCAGAAUGGAACGGGACGCAACGGUGGAGAGCAUUACACAGUGAGGGGAAGUGUAAUACAGAGACGUUGGGAGCGGAAUAACGGGUUACGGGUGAUAAACAAAUGUGGAAGGAAACGUGCAGUGAGUGACGGUAAUGGGUAAGAAAGCAACGGCUAACUACGUG